UACGUAGGGUGCGAGCGUUGCCCGGAUUUAUUGGGCGUAAAGGGCGCGUAGGCGGCCACGCACGUCCGUUGUGAAAUCGCCCGGCUCAACUGGGCGGGGUCGGCGGAUACGGCGUGGCUGGAGCAAGCUAGGGGGCAAUGGAAUUCCCGGUGUAGUGGUGGAAUGCGUAGAUAUCAGGAGGAACACCGGUGGCGAAGGCGGGUCUCUGGGUAGUAACUGACGCUGAGGAGCGAAAGCAUGGGGAGCGAACAGG
Molecule: ribosomal RNA, 253 nt
Filed under: uncultured bacterium
Lineage: Bacteria
Description: partial 16S ribosomal RNA
Rfam family: Bacterial small subunit ribosomal RNA
Source: RNAcentral